This 439-nucleotide ribosomal RNA is filed under the name uncultured bacterium. RNAcentral describes it as "partial 16S ribosomal RNA". It matches the Rfam family "Bacterial small subunit ribosomal RNA", at positions 339 to 795 of the family's 1533-position model. The record is from RNAcentral.
CUACGGGCGGCAACAGUGAGGAAUAUUGCACAAUGGGGGGAACCCUGAUGCAGCAACGCCGCGUGGAGGAUGACGCAUUUCGGUGUGUAAACUCCUUUUAUAUGUCAAUAAAAUGACGGUAGCAUAUGAAUAAGCACCGGCUAACUCCGCGCCAGCAGCCGCGGUAAUACGGAGGGUGCAAGCGUUACUCGGAAUCACUGGGCGUAAAGGACGCGUAGGCGGGUUGGAAAGUCAGGUGUGAAAUCCUACAGCUUAACUGUAGAACUGCACUUGAAACUUCUAAUCUAGAGUAUGGGAGGGGGAGAUGGAAUUAGUGGUGUAGGGGUAAAAUCCGUAGAUAUCACUAGGAAUACCUAAAGCGAAGGCGAUCUCCUGGAACAUUACUGACGCUAAGGCGUGAAAGCGUGGGGAGCAAACAGGAUUAGAUACCCUCGUAGUC